AUGGGUGCCGGCGGCAGGAUGACGGAGAAGGAGCGGGAGAAGCAGGAGCAGCUCGGCCGCGCCAACGGCGGGGCAGCCUACCAGCGCUCGCCGACGGACAAGCCGCCGUUCACGCUGGGUCAGAUCAAGAAGGCAAUCCCGCCUCACUGCUUCCAGCGCUCCAUCAUCAAGUCCUUCUCCUACGUGGUCCAUGACCUGGUCAUCGUCGCGGCCCUGCUGUACGCGGCGCUGGUCUGGAUCCCCACCCUCCCGAGCGUGCUGCAGCUGGGCGCCUGGCCGCUCUACUGGGUCGUGCAGGGCUGCGUCAUGACCGGCGUCUGGGUCAUCGCGCACGAGUGCGGCCAUCACGCCUUCUCCGACUACUCGCUGCUCGAUGACACCGUCGGCCUGGUGCUCCACUCGUGGCUGCUCGUCCCCUACUUCUCGUGGAAGUACAGCCACCGUCGCCACCACUCUAACACCGGGUCGCUGGAGCGCGAUGAGGUGUUCGUCCCCAAGCAGAAGGAGGCGCUGGCGUGGUACACCCCUUACAUCUACAACAACCCCGUCGGCCGUCUGGUGCACAUCGUCGUGCAGCUCACCCUCGGGUGGCCGCUGUACCUGGCGCUCAACGCCUCAGGCCGCCCGUACCCGCGGUUCGCCUGCCACUUCGACCCCUACGGCCCGAUCUACAACGACCGGGAGCGAGCCCAGAUUUUCAUCUCAGACGUCGGAGUGCUGGCCGUGUCAUUGGCUCUGCUGAAGCUCGUGUCGUCGUUCGGGUUCUGGUGGGUGGUGCGGGUCUACGGCGUGCCGCUGCUGAUCGUGAACGCUUGGCUGGUCCUGAUCACCUACCUGCAGCACACCCACCCGGCGCUGCCGCACUACGACUCGACGGAGUGGGACUGGCUGCGGGGGGCGCUGGCCACCAUGGACCGCGACUACGGCAUCCUCAACCGCGUGUUCCACAACAUCACGGACACGCACGUGGCGCACCACCUAUUCUCCACCAUGCCGCACUACCACGCCAUGGAGGCCACCAAGGCGAUCAAGCCCAUCCUCGGCGAGUACUACCAGUUCGACCCCACCCCCGUCGCCAAGGCCACAUGGCGCGAGGCCAAGGAGUGCAUCUACGUCGAGCCCGAGGACCGCAAGGGGGUCUUCUGGUACAGCAACAAGUUCUAG
RNAcentral lists this ribosomal RNA (1164 nucleotides) under Triticum aestivum (bread wheat). RNAcentral describes it as "partial small subunit ribosomal RNA". Lineage: Eukaryota; Viridiplantae; Streptophyta; Magnoliopsida; Poales; Poaceae. The record is from RNAcentral.